UCCACCCACACAGAGAACUACAGCUUUUGGC
This 31-nucleotide non-coding RNA is filed under the name Mus musculus (house mouse). The record is from RNAcentral. Lineage: Eukaryota; Metazoa; Chordata; Mammalia; Rodentia; Muridae.